This 244-nucleotide ribosomal RNA is filed under the name uncultured bacterium. Its description in RNAcentral is "partial 16S ribosomal RNA". It matches the Rfam family "Bacterial small subunit ribosomal RNA", at positions 116 to 354 of the family's 1533-position model. The record is from RNAcentral.
CGUGGGUAACCUGCCCAAGAGACUGGGAUAACACCUGGAAACAGAUGCUAAUACCGGAUAACAACACUAGACGCAUGUCUAGAGUUUAAAAGAUGGUUCUGCUAUCACUCUUGGAUGGACCUGCGGUGCAUUAGCUAGUUGGUAAGGUAACGGCUUACCAAGGCAAUGAUGCAUAGCCGAGUUGAGAGACUGGUCGGCCACAUUGGGACUGAGACACGGCCCAAACUCCUACGGGAGGCAGCAG